AGUGAACGCUGGCGGUAGGCCUAACACAUGCAAGUCGAACGGCAGCACAGUAAGAGCUUGCUCUUACGGGUGGCGAGUGGCGGACGGGUGAGGAAUACAUCGGAAUCUACUUUUUCGUGGGGGAUAACGUAGGUAAACUUACGCUAAUACCGCAUACGACCUACGGGUGAAAGCAGGGGAUCUUCGGACCUUGCGCGAUUGAAUGAGCCGAUGUCGGAUUAGCUAGUUGGCGGGGUAAAGGCCCACCAAGGCGACGAUCCGUAGCUGGUCUGAGAGGAUGAGCAGUCACACUGGAACUGAGACACGGUCCAGACUCCUACGGGAGGCAGCAGUGGGGAAUAUUGGACAAUGGGCGCAAGCCUGAUCCAGCCAUACCGCGUGGGUGAAGAAGGCCUUCGGGUUGUAAAGCCCUUUUGUUGGGAAAGAAAAGCAGCAGGUUAAUACCCCGCUGUUCUGACGGUACCCAAAGAAUAAGCACCGGCUAACUUCGUG
Molecule: ribosomal RNA, 492 nt
Filed under: uncultured bacterium
Lineage: Bacteria
Description: partial 16S ribosomal RNA
Rfam family: Bacterial small subunit ribosomal RNA
Source: RNAcentral